Molecule: ribosomal RNA, 497 nt
Filed under: uncultured bacterium
Lineage: Bacteria
Description: partial 16S ribosomal RNA
Rfam family: Bacterial small subunit ribosomal RNA
Source: RNAcentral
GAUGAACGCUGGCGGCGUGCCUAAUACAUGCAAGUCGAGCGAACAGACGAGGAGCUUGCUCCUCUGACGUUAGCGGCGGACGGGUGAGUAACACGUGUAUAACCUACCUAUAAGACUGGGAUAACUUCGGGAAACGGGCGCUAAUACCGGAUAAUAUAUUGCACCGCAUGGUUCAAUGGUGAAAGUCGGUUUUGCUGUCACUUAUCGAUGGAUCUGCGCUGGAUUAGAUAGUUGGUACGGUAAAGGCUUACCACGGCAACGAGGCGUAGGCGACCUGUUAGGGGGAUCGGCCACACGGGAACGGGGACACGUUCCAGACUCCUACGGUAGGCACCAGUAGGGAACCUUCCGCAAUGGGGGAAAGCCUGACGGAGCAACGCCGCGUGAGUGAUGAAGGUCUUCGGAUCGUAAAACUCUGUUAUUAGGGAAGAACAAAUGUGUAAGGAACUAUGCACGGCUUGACGGUACCUAAUCAGAAAGCCACGGCUAACUACGUG